This 329-nucleotide ribosomal RNA is filed under the name uncultured eukaryote. RNAcentral describes it as "partial 18S ribosomal RNA". It matches the Rfam family "Eukaryotic small subunit ribosomal RNA", at positions 1470 to 1796 of the family's 1831-position model. The record is from RNAcentral.
CCCUUAGAUGUUCUGGGCCGCACGCGCGCUACACUGAUGCAUUCAACGAGUCUAAAACCUGCUCUGAUAGGGGUGGGUAAUCUUUUGAAUGUGCAUCGUGAUUGGGAUAGAUGAUUGCAAUUUUUCAUCUUCAACGAGGAAUGCCUAGUAAACGCAAGUCAUCAGCUUGCAUUGAUUACGUCCCUGCCCUUUGUACACACCGCCCGUCGCUCCUACCGAUUGAAUGAUCCGAUGAAUAUCAUGGAUUGAGGAUGUAAGCAGGUUCGCCUGUCUUCAUCUUCGAGAAGUGAAGUAAAUCUUAUCAUUUAGAGGAAGGAGAAGUCGUAACA